Molecule: RNA transcript, 1966 nt
Organism: Olea europaea var. sylvestris
Lineage: Eukaryota; Viridiplantae; Streptophyta; Magnoliopsida; Lamiales; Oleaceae
Gene name: cx9C motif-containing protein 4-like
Exons: 3
Source: RefSeq, a predicted model, not a curated record
UCUAUUGUUAUCAUUGACCCCUUUUUGUUGCCCGAUUAAUUAGUUUUCGUUAUUCAAAUACGUUAAAAGAAUUUAACCCACUAAUUAGGUUUUUUGGGAUUAAAUUGAUAUCAAGGUCUUCGGUUUGUUUUAUUAUUUUUAUAUUUCUUGGUUCAGGUGUUGAAUCGUAUUGUUAGUCUGCAUUAAGUUUUGUAUCUUCCACUAAAUGCACAAGCUUUUACGGAAUGUUGAUUGAUUUAUUUAAGUAUAACUGUAUCCUUGGGGAUGAUAUGAAAUUGUCUUUGAAAUUUAGGUUCGUUAAGAGUUUGUAAAUUUAUUGCAUUUUGUUGGCUUUCGCCUAAUAGAAGAAGUUGAAUUGUAUGGAUUCCCUGUUGUGCUUUCUUCCUAAUAUUAGUACCAUAAUUUAAAAUCUUUGAUGAUUCUUGAAAUGUCGUAUUGUAGUCUUGAUGUCAAGAAUUACUUAUAUCUUCUAUGUAAAUAUUUUUUUCACUUAGUUAAUUUAUUUGCAAUCAGUUCAAUCCGAGGCUUCCGAAAAGUUAAAAGCUACUUUUAGACAAAAGUUUUCUAAGGUGAAGCUCUUUUGCUCCCGGCCAAACGGGCCCUUAGCCUUUAUUGAUGGUAUUAAAGUAGACACUCUUCAUAUAUUUGAGUUAUGAAGCCAAUUAAUCACCAAGGAGUUGGAAUUGAACUGUGCACCUUUCCUACUUCAUUUGUUCCUUUUUAUUGCCGGAAAAAGGCAUAUCAUCUCAGGCUAUCGGAUCAUAUUUUCUGACUUUUCUUUACCUCUUUUCCUGUUGUGAACUUCAUUCUAGCAACCUACUAUGUUUGAGAAUACUGAUUGCCUUAGUGCUCUUAAGAGUUAUCCUUCCUGUGAAGUCCACUGAUACUAUCAGACAUCUCAAAAGAAUCUUUGUUAGAGUUGAAGAGCCAGGGAGUCUUUUGUUUAGUUUUUAAUUAUGCUAGAAAAAUUUGAGCCAAAGAGUUAGUAAAAGGGAAAAAAAUCAGAUCUUUAUUAGAUUUUGAUUAAAGUUAUGGAAUGUGUGGUUGAAAAGUUGUGGGUCUUUUGAAAUUGUUGUUAAAAUGAUUGUUUUUGCGGAACCAAACUGGGGCUAAGUGUUGUUUUGGAAAACCACGAGUCAUUACUUUGUUUAAAAGAUUCUUUAUACCUUGGUGAAAAAGAAGAAAAAGUUAUCUUCAACACAUUAUCAGUUCUAUGAGAACAUUUGCUUCCAUUUUCAUCUUUCUAAAGAAAUAUGCACUCCAACAAUGUUGAGAAUUGAUAUCUUUCAUCAAAGUAGCAUGUUAGAUCCUUUCUCAUCGUAGUGUUGGGAUACAAAGGGAGAGCUACUCCAGAAAUGUCAAAUUUUAAUUUUACAUGGUAGCUAUGUGGUUUACUCCUGAACGUGAUCGAGAUCCACGUAUGAAAUUAAUAUGUCCAUAAAUUUACUGGAGAAGAAUAACUGAAAGAAGUAUUAGAUCGAUUGUAAAAUUGAAAGAGUAGUGUAAAAGAUAUAGUGAAGAAAGUGGAGUUUCGUUAUAUGGUAACUCCCAAGUAUCAAGGUUCCAUCUCUUUUUCAUAAGAUUUAAAUUGGUCGUUAGUUACAACAGAUUGCAAAAAUAAUUUCGUUAAUGGGACUCGAGGCAAUGGGUUUAGAUGAGAGUGCCUUGCACAUUCUCCCUGGCAGCUGAAGUAGCUUCAGAAGCUUUUGUAGACACUCGUGUCUCUUCUUAUGUCAUUGUUGAGGGGUGCAGAUAUAUCACAUGAGCAGAUUUUGAUAGCUUAAUAAAAAGUGUUGCACAUUUAGAAAGAGAUCGAUAUGUUUGUCAUUGUAAUGGUUGCAAACUCGGAAAUAUUUUGUGAUCAAACUACUUCAGAGUGUGUGAGAGUCAUCCAAAUGCUGCAAUCUUGCUGCGAGCAAUGCGAAUAUAAGUCGACACAUUGUGCAUCAGUAUCUGGCCUUCUAAA